ACAGUGCCGGCUCAAUGCUUAUAAAAAUUAGGCAUAUGCCUUAGGCCCCCAAUUUUAGGGGGCCUCUAAUUUUUACCACGAUAAAUUAUGUGUUAAUUGUUUUUAUAGAAAAAAUUAAUCAUCUAAAGCAAAUGUAUUUUCUUUAAAAAAUAUAUAUUAUUUUAUUCUCCUUAACCUCAAUCAAAUAGAAGAAAUCAAGAAAAAUGUUGUUUUGUCUUCUUACAUUCUCUUCACUAACUCU
Molecule: long non-coding RNA, 241 nt
Filed under: Solanum tuberosum (potato)
Lineage: Eukaryota; Viridiplantae; Streptophyta; Magnoliopsida; Solanales; Solanaceae
Description: long non-coding RNA (STUB_LNC011869)
Source: RNAcentral